This 460-nucleotide ribosomal RNA is filed under the name uncultured bacterium. RNAcentral's name for it is "partial 16S ribosomal RNA". It matches the Rfam family "Bacterial small subunit ribosomal RNA", at positions 338 to 795 of the family's 1533-position model. The record is from RNAcentral.
CCUACGGGAGGCAGCAGUGAGGAAUAUUGGUCAAUGGACGAGAGUCUGAACCAGCCAAGUAGCGUGAAGAAUGACUGCCCUAUGGGUUGUAAACUUCUUUUAUAUGGGAAUAAAAUGUUCCACGUGUGGGAUUUUGUAUGUACCAUAUGAAUAAGGAUCGGCUAACUCCGUGCCAGCAGCCGCGGUAAUCCGGAGGAUCCGAGCGUUAUCCGGAUUUAUUGGGUUUAAAGGGAGCGUAGGUGGAUUGUUAAGUCAGUUGUGAAAGUUUUCGGCUCAACCGUAAAAUUGAAGUUGAAACUGGCAGUCUUGAGUACAGUAGAGGUGGGCGGAAUUCGUGGUGUAGCGGUGAAAUGCUUAGAUAUCACGAAGAACUCCGAUUGCGAAGGCAGUUCACUGGACUGCAACUGACACUGAGGCUCGAAAGUGUGGGUAUCAAACAGGAUUAGAUACCCGGGUAGUC